CAGUCGCCGCGGGAAUACAGAGGGUGCGAGCGUUAAUCGGAUUUACUGGGCGUAAAGCGUGCGUAGGCGGCUUCUUAAGUCGGAUGUGAAAUCCCUGAGCUUAACUUAGGAAUUGCAUUCGAUACUGGGAAGCUAGAGUAUGGGAGAGGAUGGUAGAAUUCCAGGUGUAGCGGUGAAAUGCGUAGAGAUCUGGAGGAAUACCGAUGGCGAAGGCAGCCAUCUGGCCUAAUACUGACGCUGAGGUACGAAAGCAUGGGUAGCAAACAGGAUUAGAUACCCCUGUAGUCCCUGUCUCUUAUAC
This 301-nucleotide ribosomal RNA is filed under the name uncultured bacterium. RNAcentral's name for it is "partial 16S ribosomal RNA". It matches the Rfam family "Bacterial small subunit ribosomal RNA", at positions 509 to 807 of the family's 1533-position model. The record is from RNAcentral.